AACGAACGCUGCGGCAUGCCUAACACAUGCAAGUCGAACGAGACCUUCGGGUCUAGUGGCGCACGGGUGCGUAACGCGUGGGAAUCUGCCCUUUGCUUCGGAAUAACAGUUAGAAAUGACUGCUAAUACCGGAUGAUGUCUUCGGACCAAAGAUUUAUCGGCAAAGGAUGAGCCCGCGUAGGAUUAGGUAGUUGGUGGGGUAAAGGCCUACCAAGCCGACGAUCCUUAGCUGGUCUGAGAGGAUGAUCAGCCACACUGGGACUGAGACACGGCCCAGACUCCUACGGGAGGCAGCAGUGGGGAAUAUUGGACAAUGGGCGAAAGCCUGAUCCAGCAAUGCCGCGUGAGUGAUGAAGGCCUUCGGGUCGUAAAGCUCUUUUACCAGGGAUGAUAAUGACAGU
Molecule: ribosomal RNA, 401 nt
Filed under: uncultured Sphingomonadaceae bacterium
Lineage: Bacteria; Pseudomonadati; Pseudomonadota; Alphaproteobacteria; Sphingomonadales; Sphingomonadaceae
Description: bacterial SSU rRNA
Rfam family: Bacterial small subunit ribosomal RNA
Source: RNAcentral